UGGGAGAUCGUCUAAUUGGCAGGACGCCAGACUCUGGAUCUGGUUGUCGGGGUUCGAGUCCCUGUCUCCCAGCCA
This 75-nucleotide transfer RNA is filed under the name Thermotomaculum hydrothermale. RNAcentral's name for it is "tRNA-Gln". It matches the Rfam family "tRNA". From Rfam's summary of the family: Transfer RNA (tRNA) molecules are approximately 80 nucleotides in length. Their secondary structure includes four short double-helical elements and three loops (D, anti-codon, and T loops). Further hydrogen bonds mediate the characteristic L-shaped molecular structure. tRNAs have two regions of fundamental functional importance: the anti-codon, which is responsible for specific mRNA codon recognition, and the 3' end, to which the tRNAs corresponding amino acid is attached (by aminoacyl-tRNA synthetases). tRNAs cope with the degeneracy of the genetic code in two manners: having more than one tRNA (with a specific anti-codon) for a particular amino acid; and 'wobble' base-pairing, i.e. permitting non-standard base-pairing at the 3rd anti-codon position. The record is from RNAcentral. Lineage: Bacteria; Pseudomonadati; Acidobacteriota; Holophagae; Thermotomaculales; Thermotomaculaceae.